Molecule: long non-coding RNA, 1346 nt
Organism: Drosophila yakuba
Lineage: Eukaryota; Metazoa; Arthropoda; Insecta; Diptera; Drosophilidae
Exons: 5
Source: RefSeq, a predicted model, not a curated record
AAUACCAUUCAGUUGAUUCCUGAAGUUCAAACUAGCAACACCUUCGGAAAUGAACUCCAAAUUCUAAGUGAUUUUCGGUUGCCUUACAAAAUUUAAAUUUCUCGGCUAGUUUUAAGAACAAAGUUUCGUUUUUUAAAAUUAUUCUUAAGCUCAAAGUGAUAUUCUUUCCACCGGAAAAGUCGUAUUAUAUCGUAAACACCAACUCAGAAACACACAGAUGACUAGACUCUUUUCUUUCUCCUGGUAAAUGGUAGCACCAUCACUGAAUACUCUUCAAUCAUGAGCAAUCUUUUUACACUUACUUAUGUUGAUUCAUACUUCCUGGACGAACUUACAUAAGCGAAAAUAAUACUAUAACACUAUAACCUAUAAUACUGAUCAACACUUAAAGCUCUCUGGACUCAACUGAAUACCAACCCCAGUUCGUGGGAUAUAUAUGGUUAUAUUAUACGUUAAUUCAUACAUCCCGGACGAACUUACAUAAGCGAAAAUAAUACUAAAACACUAUAACCUACAAUACUGAUCAACACUUAAAGCUCUCUGGACUCAACUGAAUACCAACCCCAGUUCGCGGGAUAUAUAUGGUUAUGUUAUACGUUAAUUCAUACUUCCCGGACAAACUUAAGCGAAAAUAAUACUAAAACACUAUAACCUAUAAUACUGAUCAACACUUAGAGCUCUCUCUCUCUCUCUCUACCAACCCCAGUAUAUGGAAUAUGUUAUACUAAAUAAUAUAAAAAUAAUAAAUGUACCUUUUUACACUUAAAGCAAAUGAAUUUAUUUGGGGACCAAAUAAAUAUAAAGAAUGGUAAUAGUUAAUUAGGCCAAAAGUGGGUCAGAAAAACAACAGUGAACUGAAAACAAGCUAAAAAUGGGCGGCGAAAAAAAAUGGGAGGCCGAAUUAACCCAAAUAUGCAAAUAAAUCUGCCAACAGAAAUGGAAACGAGUCUGAGCCAAGUUGCACAUUAACUUCCGCAGCUCAUUAAGUCACUGUCAGCCCUUCAAAGCGGGAAGCUUGCUGGAAGUACAUAUUAAUUUAUGUGACGCCAACUGGACGACCACUGUACAAGGCCCCAGAAUCAACCAAGAACGUCUCUCCGAGCUGGAAAACAACAAAACAUUGUUGGGAGGUGUUACCAGUACACCCUGCGUAUUUAGAUAAAUGUACAGGGGUCGAAAAAAUUGCUGAAAAAAUUGUAAUAAAAAUGUCGGCGCUUAAAAUGAAAUACCCAGAAAACAAAAAUAUGACGCGACUCGCCCCCGUUGCCUGAUAUUUAAUUGGGUCGAUUGCCUUAUAUUGCCUGCUUGUAUUUCGUUUGACCAAAAUAAAUGGCUGGAUUUUUAAA